UACGGAGGGGGCUAGCGUUGUUCGGAAUUACUGGGCGUAAAGCGCGCGUAGGCGGACCUGCAAGUCGGGGGUGAAAGCCCGAGGCUCAACCUCGGAACUGCCUUCGAUACUGCGGGUCUCGAGUCCGGGAGAGGUAAGUGGAAUUCCGAGUGUAGAGGUGAAAUUCGUAGAUAUUCGGAAGAACACCAGUGGCGAAGGCGACUUACUGGACACAUAUUGACGCUGAGGUGCGAAAGCGUGGGGAGCAAACAGG
RNAcentral lists this ribosomal RNA (253 nucleotides) under uncultured bacterium. Its description in RNAcentral is "partial 16S ribosomal RNA". It matches the Rfam family "Bacterial small subunit ribosomal RNA", at positions 524 to 776 of the family's 1533-position model. The record is from RNAcentral.